CUCUUUCAACAUUUUCUUCAGGAGACAGAACCUCCACAACAGGGAGCUGAGGACCAAGAAAUGUCAGGGUUUAAUUUGGUCUCUGAUACUCAAUCACUGCAUGCCCUCAGGCAAGUGACUUAUCUUUUCUCUAUCUAAAUGUCUACAUCAGUGAAACAGAGGCAAAAGUACUUUCCACAUAAGAGUGUCAGUGAGUUUAGCAUAACUCAUUAAUGCCUGCUUGGAGCUUUAAAUCCUGCAGCAGAACAUCCUUUGCAAACAGUGGUGGUUCAUGCACUGCAGGGGUGACAGGCAGUAGAAACUGAAGCCCAGAGCCCCAGUUCUGUGCUCAUUGACUGCUGUGGGCAUUCAGCUGCUGUGUACGUGUGGUGUCCAGUGUGGGUCCCCACCGCUGUGAUCAGAGGAUGCUCCCACCGGGUGAGGCUGUGGCUGGGAGGGUGCCAGCAAUGUCUCACUGAGAAACAAACAACCAAUGAAUCAGCCCUGAUUGCUGCAUUCAGCUAAUGAAAAUGCAUGUAAUUGAUAUUUUAUAACUAUAUAGAGAAAGGAUUUUUUUUUAGGUCUUUAAUGGUAUCGAUUGACGGAAGAAAGCCAGAUAGAUAUCUCUAAGCUGCAGAGCUAUAGGGCUAAAGUGCCUUUGAGUCAGGAAAUGUAUACUUGUUUAAAAUUCACUUCAAAUUUUCACAUCAUUUGCAGCUUUUAAUGGCAUUUUUGGACCCUGACAAUUAAUCAUGUAGCCACUGGAGUCAACUGAUAGUCUCAUUUCUGAUCAAUUAUUGCUGUCAGCCUCCCUCCCCCAUAUUCUGCAUGCUGACGGGGACCAGGGUCUGAAAGAGGAUAACUGCCAGAGGGCCCUGGGAUGGGCUGCAGAAUGCUCUCUUCGAGGUGUUCCCUGAUUUAGUACAUUGGUCUUAUUCUUUAGUCAGGUUCCUUGCAGUUCAUUCCAUGUGACACUGUUUGGAGCAGCCCAGUGGAGGGCAAAUUGCUGUUUUAAAACCUAUGCAGAUACUGGUGUUUUGUGUUUGCCCUUUAUGGAAAAGACUGUCUUUUUUUUUUCAGCUCUUGCACAGUCCAUGAACUUUUUGUAACCGAUGUGAUUAGGAACUUUACAUCUCUAAUCCCUGUCGCUCCAUUGGCAGCAGGAGAGGUAGCUGGAACACAAGGAAUGCAAUCACAUGGGCUGCUCCUUUGGCCAUGGCAUCACUCAGUGGGCAAAGCAUCAUGUAGAAGAAAGGAGUUAAUUCUUCCCUAUGAAACAGGAAGAUUAAAGAGCUGGAGAUCUGCACUGACAGCCUGCUACUGAGGAAAGAAAAGGAGAACCUGCGCUCUCUGUGCAGGCAACUCCAGCACGCAAUAUGCAUCCAGAUGAGACUGAGUGAAAAGAAGACAAGAAAAUGAGCUCAGUGCAGCAAAGGCUGGUUAGAAAGCUAGUCAGAAGGGUCCUUAAGACAAAGGGUUUCUGUUGACUUUAAUGGGGUUUGGAUAGCCUGACAGUGUUGGCUUAUGUUUGAGCAUCCAGACAUCGGGUUUGGUUGUUGUAAAUAAGAUUCUCUCUCUGCUGCAGGGUGGGAAACUGGAGCCAUGCUUCCAGCAGUGAGGAGUGGAGCCAGCACCACUCCGGAGGUCCACUUUGCAAUCUGUGCAGUGCAUGAACACAAGGCUGCAAGUUAGCUUGUGUUGUUUUCCCUUCCUUUCUUUCUUUGUUUCCCUUUCUCUCUUUCUCUCCUUCUCUCUUUCUUAGGAUUUCAGUUGUUGCUCAUUCUGAGUUACUUUAAAAGUGAUCUUGAUGUCCUUCCUGUUUUCUCAUUUUCACUCUCACUCACUGGAGCAACACAUGAGAGAUUCGCCAUUAAGCAAAAGAAGAAAAUAAAAAGAAUAAAUGACAGGAAGUAAAAGGAAGAACGGUGCACAAUUCCUGAUUUACUUCCUUAUGCACUCCCUCCCCCCCACCUCUUGCAUAUGCACACUGAAGGGACCAAACUACGAACCCAAUGUGAGAUUUCAUUUUCAAUUCUUAAUGAAACAGUUGCAGUGAGAGAGAAGAGGAACAGGCUGGGCGUGGGAGGAAAAUGCGGAGUCAUUCUUUCUCUUUCUGUGGUCAAUGUGUCAUAUCUUCAUCAUGGCUGCACUUGGGGCACUUUGCUGCAGAAAGAUGAAAAAAAAUCUGGUUUGAGUGCUGUUGGUAAAACUGUACUGUCACCACAUGUGAAACUGUCCCACAGAUAUCAGGUCUUGGAGGACUGCCCUAACAGCAAAGCUGCAAAAGGGUUACUCUCGUCUUCUCCUCUCCAACUAUUUAUCUUUCCACUUCCUCUAAUUUUUAUUCCUCUUACUUCAUUUGCAGGAGCUGUCUUAGACAAUUCAAUAUUACAGAACAGCAUUUAUGGAGAUUGAAAGUUGUGGUAAUUAAUCAUCUUUGGGUGAAAUUCUAACCCGAUGCAGUCAGUAGUAAAACCCAAGUAGCUUCAGUAUUUCAGCCCACGGCAUCUUAAUGCCAUGGCUUAUUUGUAAUUUGGAUGUCUUUUGAAGCUUUGAAUACAUUAAGGGAAAAUAGUGGGUUUGUGUGUUUGGUCAUUAGGAAGGAAUAAACAGUGACUGCAAAUUAAAAAAUUUCUGUGGAUAGUUAAAGGGUUUCAUAUUUAUUUAACCUCUGGAGAUCUCAAGCCCCAAUCAGUUGUUCGAAGUUUCUGUGACUGCUCUGCAAGCAGUUGAUGCUGCAGGGACAGAGCUAUGCUCCUGGCUCUCAGUAGUCACAGUUUAGCUCGUAAGUGCGCCAAUGACGCAUGAGACACGAACCAGAGUUCUCCUAAGAAUCACUGCUUUUGCAGGGCUAGCCAUAAAAAAGCUUUCUUACAUUUAUGGCAUCUUAGCAGCAGUUCCCUGGAAUCAGUAGAAAGCUUCCCUGUUGGUGCCAAUGAGCUUUUGGCUCAGAUCCACAAAAAUCUGAUUCUCCCAUUUGAACUGGUAUGACUCCGUUAUGCAGUAGUUAAGUGCUUAUAGCACUGGAGCUGAAUACAUCAUAGGUACAUUACAAACGUGCCUACUGAAUCCAUACAAUAGGAUUAAUCUAUUUAUCUUUGAAUAAUUUACUAAAGCAAAACCUAAGGGGUUCCUUAAACCCCUGGGACCUGCAAAAACUGGGGCUGCUUGCAGCUAUCCCUCAGAAACUGGCCCUCAGACAGAGCAGAAGCCUCACAUGCUAUUUAUGAGCACCUAAUCCCACUCCCUCAAACCCUCGUGUGUUCUUCCCGAGGUUGUUACACCUCCAGAUACCGACAGAAAGCAAAUAACCUUUGGGGAGGCUGGAGAGGUCUCAUUUGGACUCUGAAAAAUGUGAUCACUUGGUUUGGCAGCAGCAACCUGCUCAGCAAUCGAUUUUGUUUUAUUUUGCCUGAGUAGUCAAGAUGGGACCAUAGGUGAGAAUAAUGAUUGCAAUCAACGAGCAGCAACAUUGCUAACUAUUAUUGCGCCCAGUGCAACGCCCACAUUAAUGCUUGCAGUAACUCUGCAUUACUCACACGAGUUAAGAAGAGGUUUACCACCCUACUACAGAUGGCAAGAGGAUAGAAUCAGGGAGGACUUGUAUCAUCUGCACAUGUCACAGAGGUCAGUGGCAAAAGUCAUAAAAAACAUCUAGCAAUGGAAUUGUCUUUCUCUUUUCUCAGACUACAGUUUUCCUAAUGAGAAAAUUUCCCUCUCAGAUCAGUGACAAUGUUGGUUUUCCAGAGUUAGGGGGCAAACUCCAACUUGCCUCUGCGCAUGCCAUAAAUCAUCCCGUAUCACUUUUAAGAAUUGAUCACUCUUAAGGGUCCACGAUCUCAACACUGGCUUGGGGGAAGAUACAGUUGAUAUGAGACAAAAGCACUCCUUGAAUACGUUUUAUAAUUUUUUGUAUUCAUUAAGAUGCUUCAGAAAGGCUCUUUGUUCAAUGUUUAUCUUUUCAUCUGCCCUGACCUGGGAGCUGCAAGCACUUUGAGAAGUUAAUUGAAUGCUUGCUUUGUUUCGUUUCAGCUUUCAGGUCUAAAGUUUUGCUUUCAGUAAUGGUCCUGAGAACACUUCUGUCCUGUCUGCAAUAGCUCUGAAACCUUCUCCAGGAGCAACUGGGAAUUCCUUAUUGAUCACCACUGUCUUAUUACAGGAAUUCACAACCGAGAUGAUGUUUCUUAUUCAAUGACAGCAGGAACUCCCAACCUAGAAAGAGGGUUAUUUCUCUAAUGUUUCUUUUGCCAGAAUAAUCAUUCGAUCACAGAUCAUAGAAUCGUAGCAUCACCAAGAUUGGAAAAGACCUCCAAGUUCACCCAAUCCAACUGUCCUUCUACCACCAAUAUUUCCCCACUAAACCAUGUCCUUCAGUACAACAUCUCCAUGGUUCUUGAGCACCUCCAUGGAUGAUGACUCCCCCACCUCCCUGGGCAGCUGUGCCACUGCAUCACCGCUCUCUCAGAGAAGAAAAUCUUCCUAAUAGGCAGCCUGAAACUCCCCUGGUGCAACUAAAGGCCACUACCCACACCUCCAGGGGAGACUGCGAGGGACAAUAUGCUCUGCACACAAUUCCUGUAUCAUGUGUUCUAGAUGACUGUUGGAUUUGUUUCCUUUAUACCACUCUCCUCACCUGUGUCUGCUGCCUGUGAACAGGGGCUGAGGUGUGAGCAAGGGUUUCAGAAAGCUGGAUUCAGACCAUGACCUGCACAAGUUUCUUAUGGCGUGUUCAUCAAAAAUGUCUGAAGUGACAUUGUUGUAAAUUGGCCAAAAUAAUGAGAUUCUUUUGUGCUAUUAGUAUAGUCCAUAAAGAUCUUGGAGCAGGGGCUGUUUCUAAUCAGAUUUAUAUAUCGUACUUUGUACAAUAGUGCCCAUUUCUGCUAGCAGAAGAAAUGAAUCAGUGGGGGCUUAUUAAUUAAAAAAACAAAACAAAACACAGAAUAGUUAUUAGUGUAGUUAUUUUGAGUAAAGUCAUAAGGUGAGUAACAUGGAAGGCUGAGACAUGAAGUGGUAGAAUAUAUGCAGAGGGGCAUGGCAAAGUAUCUGUGUUUCCCCUUUUCUGAUGGGAAUUCUUGAAGGAUCUGAUAAAUACUGAUUGCUCAGUAGUUCCAUCUUAACCUUUACUUGCAAUACAAUGUACUUAGCUAUCUCCAUACCAGUUUAUUAUUAGCACAGACCUCUGCUUCCCAAUAGCUGCUCCUGAAAGGUUUCUGUGCCAAAGGACAGAGUAGUAAAAGCAACAAAACCUUUAGUAAUCAGGUCACUGGACUCUCAAAGCAAGGAACAGAAAACUCAGGAAGGCAUAGAGUCUGGAUGGUUACAUCUUAAUUCCAAAGCAGAGAGGAAUCCCAAUGUAUUGCACAUGGUGAAAGAUGAAGCAGAGCUCUUUUAUGAGACUCACCUUGAUUUGCUGCUUAUAUUAAUGCAAGCAUUUAACAAUGUUAUAUCAGUGUUACAAUCAGGACAUGUGUUCAAAAAGUUCAGGAACAAACAAAAACAAAUACAUAAAAAUGAAGAUGCGCUCAUCUGUUGCUCCACCUUUUGUCCACCUCAUGGAGUUGGAUCCUUUUUGCAUUGCACGUUUGAAUUCUUUCCCACAAGCCCAUGGAUGACACACACUCAGUUUCACAAAUGGAUUUGGGGUCUUUGCAAAAGUUGCUGGGGUGUCAGCAGCGGAGCUGAGAGAAAUGCACUGCUUGCAGGAAGAUGUGGCACCACCUGAGGUCCAUACUCCUCACCAAUGCUGGAGCUGCAGAAAGCCUUUGCCCUGAGUGCUCUGUCUCCUUGGUUAUCACCUAAUGAUAUAAAGCUACGGUAUUUCUUGCAAAUGCUGUACUCAUUUCAGUCCAGAAAACAAUGAGGUGUUUUGUUGUUGAUUUUUAUUUUUAUUUUUAAUCCUUAAUUAAUCCAAAUCUAUACAUGUCCUAAUGGAAAGAAAGACUAAAAAUAAUGACCUAAACACUCUCGCCCUGCCCCAGGCUGUUUUUUUUUUAAUCUUGGUUGGUUUUUUUUUUUUUCAAGAGGGUUAAUUUUAGACUUGGCAUCUUUGCCCGGUGAACUUCCCACAUGUGGUUAAAGCUACAAGCCAGGUCCUGCCACCAGCCAUAUUUACCAGAAACAGCAGGAGAAAUUUCCAGCAGAACAGUAAAGGGGCUGCAGUUCCUGUUGUUCUGCCAGUAUAUUUCAUCUAAAAAUAUUAUUCAUCUUGCCAACCACUUUAAUGCAAUUGGGGAAUGGCAGAGCUGGGAAGUCAGAAGAAAAGCUCUUUGUUAAAAAAAAAAAAAAGCUCAGAAGUCCCUCUACUUUCUAUUGUCUAUUCUACUGUCUGUUCUAUUUUUUUUUAUCAUGUUCUUCUUUGCUGUUUACUUAUCAGACUUGUCCCAGCUGUGUUCAUUAUCAGUUAAGAGAAUACUAAUCACUUAAGAUAUCUGUGUUUUAUUUCUGAAUGCAACUUUUGACAACUCUGCGAGAAGAAAGAUGACGUAGAAAAUAAUACAACUGAAAGCUCAGCAGCCCUCCUUAGUUUUCUGUUGCUGAAGCUGAAGCUGGAAGAUGAUCAGAGGAAAGCGGAGACACUGAGGUCAAGUGUCCUUGAAGUCUGUUUGUGACUAAUACAUUAAUGAGCUUAGCUGGGGAAAAUCCAAAACCAACUUGUUCUGCACCUGAGCAUGAUCAUACUAGAGCAGCGAAUUGCAGCACACCAACCAGCCUGUUGCUAGCAGAGGGGGAAAAAGUUAAACAGCCCAAGAACGUGUUGCUUUUUAUAAUAAAUACAUAAUCAUUUUAAAAAAUUGA
Long non-coding RNA from Gallus gallus (chicken), 6774 nucleotides. RefSeq lists it as uncharacterized. Lineage: Eukaryota; Metazoa; Chordata; Aves; Galliformes; Phasianidae. The record is from RefSeq and is a predicted model, not a curated record. The transcript has 2 exons.